GCNGNGACUGCUUACCAUGCAGUCGACGGUGAACACGGAGCUUGCUCUGUGGGAUCAGUGGCGAACGGGUGAGUAACACGUGAGCAACCUGCCCCUGACUCUGGGAUAAGCGCUGGAAACGGCGUCUAAUACUGGAUACGAGUAGCGGCCGCAUGGUCAGUUACUGGAAAGAUUUUUUGGUUGGGGAUGGGCUCGCGGCCUAUCAGCUUGUUGGUGAGGUAAUGGCUCACCAAGGCGUCGACGGGUAGCCGGCCUGAGAGGGUGACCGGCCACACUGGGACUGAGACACGGCCCAGACUCCUACGGGAGGCAGCAGUGGGGAAUAUUGCACAAUGGGCGAAAGCCUGAUGCAGCAACGCCGCGUGAGGGAUGACGGCCUUCGGGUUGUAAACCUCUUUUAGCAGGGAAGAAGCGAAAGUGACGGUACCUGCAGAAAAAGCGCCGGCUAACUACGUGCCAGCAGCCGCGGUAAUACGUAGGGCGCAAGCGUUAUCCGGAAUUAUUGGGCGUAAAGAGCUCGUAGGCGGUUUGUCGCGUCUGCUGUGAAAUCCCGAGGCUCAACCUCGGGCCUGCAGUGGGUACGGGCAGACUAGAGUGCGGUAGGGGAGAUUGGAAUUCCUGGUGUAGCGGUGGAAUGCGCAGAUAUCAGGAGGAACACCGAUGGCGAAGGCAGAUCUCUGGGCCGUAACUGACGCUGAGGAGCGAAAGGGUGGGGAGCAAACAGGCUUAGAUACCCUGGUAGUCCACCCCGUAAACGUUGGGAACUAGUUGUGGGGUCCAUUCCACGGAUUCCGUGACGCAGCUAACGCAUUAAGUUCCCCGCCUGGGGAGUACGGCCGCAAGGCUAAAACUCAAAGGAAUUGACGGGGACCCGCACAAGCGGCGGAGCAUGCGGAUUAAUUCGAUGCAACGCGAAGAACCUUACCAAGGCUUGACAUAUACGAGAACGGGCCAGAAAUGGUCAACUCUUUGGACACUCGUAAACAGGUGGUGCAUGGGUUGUCGUCAGCUCGUGUCGUGAGAUGUUGGGUUAAGUCCCGCAACGAGCGCAACCCUCGUUCUAUGUUGCCAGCACGUAAUGUGGGAACUCAUGGGAUACUGCCGGGGUCACUCGGAGAAGUGGGAUGACGUCAAUCAUCAUGCCCCUUAUGUCUGGGCUCACGCAUGCUACAUGNCGUACAAAGNUGCAUACCGNAGUGAACCGAUCCAAAAAGCNGNCCCAAAUUCGGAUUGAGGUCUG
Molecule: ribosomal RNA, 1240 nt
Filed under: Bacillota bacterium
Lineage: Bacteria; Bacillati; Bacillota
Description: bacterial SSU rRNA
Rfam family: Bacterial small subunit ribosomal RNA
Source: RNAcentral